CUCCUUUUUUCUUAUUAGUAUUUUUUCAGACUUUUCUCCUCAUUCUCAUUUUUCAAAAAGUUUGACUAAGAUCUGUCCUUUGUCUAUAACAUGACAGGGUUGCUGAGCUACUUGGCUCUGUGUGUGUCCUAGCAGUUUUUUCGGUUUGUUUGUUUGUUUGUUUUUCGUUUGCUUUUUAAGGCCACACCCGCGGCAUAUGGAGGUUCCCAGGCUAGGGGUUGAGUCAGAGCUGUAGCUGCUGGUCUACACCACAGCCACAGCAACGUCGGAUCCAAGCCACGUCUGCGACCUACACCACAGCUCACAGCAACGCCGGAUCCUUAACCCACUGAGCAAGGCCAGGGCUCGAACCCGCAACCUCAUGGUUCCUAGUCGGAUUCGUUAACCACUGAGGCACGGCAGGAACUCCUGCCCUCGCCAUUUGAGGGGAAGUGGCCGUGGUCUCUCUGAACAGCUGCCCCUUCCCUCUGUCCGUCCCCUGGGGUCCGGCUCAGGUCCGGAGACCGACCACUUGCUGUUCUUCCGCAGGACUUUUCCUCUUUGUGGUUCCGAAAAUGGGUCAUUUCUCUUGUCCUGUUUUCAAGGCGGUGAAGCCCUCCUCUGCGGCCCGUCUUUCGGGAGGCCUGUCGAGCGCAUUUUUCAUUUGGGUCCAGGGUUUUUUCAACACGAGGGUCUCCAUUUGUUUUCUUUCUGAAGUUUCCACUUCGCGGCCAGCAUCACCCCCACUUCGCGGCCUUCUUGACACUUGGCUGGCGAAUCCUUUCAGGGGAUCGUGCCUGAGACGUGCAGAGACGACUCGUCCCAUCUUGGCCUGGAACGUGCCGCGUUUGCUCCAGGAGGCGUUGCAGUCACUGCCGGGUCCUCAGCGCUGUGUGGACCUGUCUUCUCGGGCCCGGCCGCCAGCCAGAGCUGUGGCCGGUCCAGUUUUUCAGGAGCC
This 937-nucleotide long non-coding RNA is filed under the name Sus scrofa (pig). Its description in RNAcentral is "lncRNA (ENSSSCG00015050973.1)". The record is from RNAcentral. Lineage: Eukaryota; Metazoa; Chordata; Mammalia; Artiodactyla; Suidae.